This 450-nucleotide ribosomal RNA is filed under the name Pedobacter sp. IGS60. RNAcentral's name for it is "bacterial SSU rRNA". It matches the Rfam family "Bacterial small subunit ribosomal RNA", at positions 22 to 469 of the family's 1533-position model. Lineage: Bacteria; Pseudomonadati; Bacteroidota; Sphingobacteriia; Sphingobacteriales; Sphingobacteriaceae. The record is from RNAcentral.
GCUCAGGAUGAACGCUAGCGGCAGGCCUAAUACAUGCAAGUCGAACGAGAUUAAGGGGCUUGCUCCUUAUGAAAGUGGCGCACGGGUGCGUAACGCGUAUGCAACCUACCUCAAUCAGGGGGAUAGCCCGAAGAAAUUCGGAUUAACACCGCAUAAAAACACAGGAUAGCAUUAUCUAAUGUUCAAAUAUUUAUAGGAUUGAGAUGGGCAUGCGUGUCAUUAGCUAGUUGGCGGGGUAACGGCCCACCAAGGCGACGAUGACUAGGGGAUCUGAGAGGAUGACCCCCCACACUGGUACUGAGACACGGACCAGACUCCUACGGGAGGCAGCAGUAAGGAAUAUUGGUCAAUGGAGGCAACUCUGAACCAGCCAUGCCGCGUGCAGGAAGACAGCCCUCUGGGUCGUAAACUGCUUUUAUUCGGGAAUAAACCUAUUUACGUGUAAAUAGC